UACGAAGGGGGCUAGCGUUGCUCGGAAUCACUGGGCGUAAAGGGUGCGUAGGCGGGUCUUUAUGUCAGGGGUGAAAUCCUGGAGCUCAACUCCAGAACUGCCUUUGAUACUGAGGAUCUUGAGUUCGGGAGAGGUGAGUGGAACUGCGAGUGUAGAGGUGAAAUUCGUAGAUAUUCGCAAGAACACCAGUGGCGAAGGCGGCUCACUGGCCCGAUACUGACGCUGAGGCACGAAAGCGUGGGGAGCAAACAGG
RNAcentral lists this ribosomal RNA (253 nucleotides) under uncultured bacterium. RNAcentral's name for it is "partial 16S ribosomal RNA". It matches the Rfam family "Bacterial small subunit ribosomal RNA", at positions 524 to 776 of the family's 1533-position model. The record is from RNAcentral.